GUUGAAGUGAAGGCUUCCUAGGCUACAUUUUUAAAGGAAAGCAAGAAGAUGCUAGUAAAAGAAUGUUCCUCUCAUCCCAUGAGCAAAAUAUAUAUAUAAAUGGAAACCAGUCCUUAGCAAAGAAGGCAGGGAAGCAUCUGAAUAAUCUCUCCAGCUAUGCCUGAAGCCUGAAAGUUACUCUCUGCUGCGGGAAGGAGCUGAUUAACCGUGGGCAUGUCAAGAGCUAGAGGAAGGAAGAAUCGAUCUGAUUUACAGUGUGACCCAUGGACACCAGUUUGACUUGAACUGAGGUGAGAGCCCUGCACUACCUGCCCCUUUCCUGGAGGCCUCGCUGGGGACAGCAGUGCAGAGAGCGCGGCGUGGCCCUGCCGGAUGCCGACCACCUCCUCUUCCUGUUGCUCCGCCUCUCUGGGCCUUCACGUCCGUGCAUGACUGCAAGCGCACCUGCGAGGCCUGAAUUUUUACUCCACAGGUGGAGCGGCAGGUCCACCUCCUGGCCGUGGACAAUGGGCCAAGGUCGUGUGUUACAACCAGGGGCGGGCUCUUCCCUCAGUCCUGGUGUUUCCCUUGCAUUUUAAGGACAGCCGUCCUCCUUCCUCAUUUACCCCAAGGGCAGGUGGAGAUAUUUUCUGCUUCUUAU
Long non-coding RNA from Heterocephalus glaber (naked mole-rat), 640 nucleotides. The record is from Ensembl. Lineage: Eukaryota; Metazoa; Chordata; Mammalia; Rodentia; Bathyergidae.